GGGCUGGGGCUCAGUGGUAGAGUGCUCACCUGGCAUGCAUGAGGCACUGAGUUUGAUCCUCAGGACCA
This 68-nucleotide transfer RNA is filed under the name Marmota monax (woodchuck). RNAcentral describes it as "tRNA.Ala". Lineage: Eukaryota; Metazoa; Chordata; Mammalia; Rodentia; Sciuridae. The record is from RNAcentral.